RNAcentral lists this transfer RNA (69 nucleotides) under Capillaster sp. DH-Y2. RNAcentral's name for it is "tRNA-Pro". It matches the Rfam family "tRNA". Rfam says of the family: Transfer RNA (tRNA) molecules are approximately 80 nucleotides in length. Their secondary structure includes four short double-helical elements and three loops (D, anti-codon, and T loops). Further hydrogen bonds mediate the characteristic L-shaped molecular structure. tRNAs have two regions of fundamental functional importance: the anti-codon, which is responsible for specific mRNA codon recognition, and the 3' end, to which the tRNAs corresponding amino acid is attached (by aminoacyl-tRNA synthetases). tRNAs cope with the degeneracy of the genetic code in two manners: having more than one tRNA (with a specific anti-codon) for a particular amino acid; and 'wobble' base-pairing, i.e. permitting non-standard base-pairing at the 3rd anti-codon position. The record is from RNAcentral. Lineage: Eukaryota; Metazoa; Echinodermata; Crinoidea; Comatulida; Comatulidae.
CAAGGAAUAGUUUAAAAAAAAUAAUAGCUUUGGGUGUUAUUGAUAAAAGUUUAAUUCUUUUUUUCUUGA